AGAGUUUGAUCCUGGCUCAGGGUAAACGCUGGCGGCGUGCCUAAAACAUGCAAGUCGAACGGGCAGGUUCUUCGGAAUCUGUCAGUGGCAGACGGCUGAGUAACGCGUGGGUGACAUACCCGACGGUGGGGAAUAACUGCCCGAAAGGGUGGCUAAGACCGCAUAUGUCUGUGGCUUCGAGGCGACAGACAAAGCAGCAA
RNAcentral lists this ribosomal RNA (200 nucleotides) under uncultured bacterium. RNAcentral describes it as "partial 16S ribosomal RNA". It matches the Rfam family "Bacterial small subunit ribosomal RNA", at positions 8 to 212 of the family's 1533-position model. The record is from RNAcentral.